Molecule: non-coding RNA, 108 nt
Filed under: Veillonella sp.
Lineage: Bacteria; Bacillati; Bacillota; Negativicutes; Veillonellales; Veillonellaceae
Description: TPP sequence
Rfam family: TPP riboswitch aptamer (THI element)
About the family: Vitamin B(1) in its active form thiamin pyrophosphate (TPP) is an essential coenzyme that is synthesised by coupling of pyrimidine and thiazole moieties in bacteria. The previously detected thiamin-regulatory element, thi box was extended, resulting in a new, highly conserved RNA secondary structure, the THI element, which is widely distributed in eubacteria and also occurs in some archaea. Analysis of operon structures identified a large number of new candidate thiamin-regulated genes, mostly transporters, in various prokaryotic organisms.
Source: RNAcentral
UAGAAAAUUCAGGGGAGCUUAUGAACGUAGGCUGAGAGGAAGUCAUCAAACUUCGACCCUUAUACCUGUACGGAUAAUGCCGUCGUAGGAAGAUGUUAUAGCGACUUU